Molecule: long non-coding RNA, 708 nt
Filed under: Rattus norvegicus (Norway rat)
Lineage: Eukaryota; Metazoa; Chordata; Mammalia; Rodentia; Muridae
Description: long non-coding RNA NONRATT030227
Source: RNAcentral
UGCAGAUCAUUUCAACUUUCAUUGAAGGUGGGAAAAUCACUGUGUGAGAGCCUCCAGCCAUCUUGAAUUAUAUAGGGGUAGCUGGUCCCAGGCAAACCCACCUGGCUUCAGUCUAAUGAGAACAUGCUAAGCUGAGUUUCAGGGACCCCAGGUUCCUUUUGCAGUGACAACUGUGGUUAGCUCACUAGAAAAUAAUGGUACAAAGGGUGAAAAUCCUUUGAAGGUCAUCAAAGUAUUGUUACCUCAGCCAAGAGCCAGUCAUUUCUAUUUCUGCUUUCGCUGGCCAUCCAUCUCUCAUUGCAGCUGUCAUCCAGUCAUUUAAUCCACAAAGGCUUUCUAGAAGAUUUAUGUGUGUCCCGGCAGGGAGCAAGGCAAAUUCCCACCAUUGUGCAAUUCACAGUGGACAGUUGAAGACUCUUGUUAUGAUUUUAGCACUGCGUCAGGAAUCCAUCCUUUACCAGAGAGUGUAGAAGGAGCUGUGAACCCAUUCCACAGCGGUGGUUUCAAUUGCAGGUGAACCUGGGCCUCCUGUAGAUGUGGAUUCCUGUGUUCCAAUCCCAGGACUUCCUGGAGUGCCAGGCCCCAGAGGACCAGAAGGAGCUAUGGGGGACCCUGGACAGAGAGGCCUGCCUGGACCAGGGUGCAAAGGAGAGGCUGGCCUGGAUGGUAGGCGGGGCCAGGACGGCAUCCCUGGAUCUCCAGGACCUC